AUUAUGCACAGCAGACCGCGCGGAGCAAGGACGGUGAUUCACACACCCGCGAACGAGUGCACAGGGCAGCAGCUCGGGCUCAUCCUCUUCGGAGCAAUCGAUCUUCACGAAGAACGUGGCCCGUUCGUUGGGGAUGCAGCGGAUCAGGGAACUGGAGUUCUCGCUGAACGUGAUGCGAGGUGGUGGUCGGUGGCCCGCCUCGGGCACCCCAUCCUCGCCAGGAGGCUCUGCAAAGUGGGUAACACGGUGCGUUAAUUAUAAGCAUGAGUAAUCGCUUUAUAAGUUACGAUGCCGCAGGAAACCGUCCGCCAAACAAAUAAUCAUAAAUAUUUGCGAAAUGUCAAGAAUGGCCGAGCAUCCGCGGGCAGACAUGAGCACACAUAUGUAGUUAUGCCGGCAGGGAAAGCAAAGAGUCGGAACUUUAAAGUGAACUCGCAUUCAGGAUACCCUAAUCAGAGUACAUAUAAUCAACUGACUGAUUUCCACAUAAAAAGCAUUUAUUUUAAAUCACUUUUAAAAUAUAAAUGUUUUCUAAUUUGUGAAAUAAAGUGGUUCUCUUUAUACUC
Non-coding RNA from Drosophila melanogaster (fruit fly), 566 nucleotides. Lineage: Eukaryota; Metazoa; Arthropoda; Insecta; Diptera; Drosophilidae. The record is from Ensembl.